UUCAUUUACAAGCAGAGUAUGAAAAAACCUGAGAAUUUUCACAGUUCAAAUAAUGCACAGUGGUUUUCAUUUUUUGUUUGUUUGUUUGUUUGCUACGUAGGAACCCAAAAAUUCUAUGCACCGAUUGCAUUUGCCUGUUGAUCAGUUUAUUAAAGUUAAACCUAACCAAGUGACGAUUUUUAAAAAAUACUAGUAUAUACUUAAAUUCCACAAAACACUUUACAGGUAUCUCCGUGUCUAAGGAUUUCAGAAAAUACUAAUGUAAAGCAAAACCAAAAAUGCCUUUGCAUUAUAAUCACAGUUUUAAAGAAAAUUUAAAUAAAAAGGGAUAUGUUUUGAUCACAUUUUUAGUUACAGAGUUUUAUUGGUUAGAAAAAUAAACCUUUGGUGAGGUAAACAUGGACAUCAGCCAUAUGGAUUCAUAUUUGCAGAGUCAAACCUUACAAAGAGAUGCAAAAAUCACCUGCUAUAAUUGCUAAGAAGCAAUUUAGUUCCUGAGCAAUUUACCAUUGAGAUUUGGCAGAUGGAAAGCUGUUUAGAUGAUAGUAACACACCAUAACUGUACGUCAUUUAUAGUUUCAAACCAUCUCCACUCUCACACUAGCAUCAGUUAACCAGAAUCCUAUUUAAAGUUGGUUUGUCACUUGAACUUGCUACUGGCUAAGCACAGCACUAACCUGACCAGUCGCACACUGGGAUCAAGGACUCAGACUUUCUAUCUCACACUCACACUAACGUUAAGUAGCACUAUGAACUAUGCAGACACAGUAGUAACCUAAACCUAACCACUCCAUGACAGGCACAGCAAGGGUAAAACUACUAAAUCCCUGUUAGUCUGUCUCUCUCAAUAUCUUGAGUGAAAGGGUCUAGAAGAUUGCCUGCUUGGAAUUCUUGUUGUUUUUCAACCAGCUCAUGAUUGGACAGGAGAUCUAGCCCACAUCAUUGGGCAGACCUCUUGUCCAACAUGGCAAACUAAGCUGUUUAUUUGACAACCUCCCCCCUUUUCCGCCAACAAAAAGAAGAAACUCAGAAUUACAAAUUAUAUAUUUUUUUGUGGAUGUGUCAAUAUGGUGCUUUGGAGGCAUGGAAUUCGGACAAUCAAUCAAAAUUCAGCUGAAUCGCAGUUCGUUUGAACGAAUGCAAGUGUGCAAUUCUAAUACUCUGGACCACAAAUACAGUAAAAUUCUUUAGUAUGUUCUUGAACCGGUUAUAUGCUUCAAAAGUUAUAGAGUAUGGUAUACUGCAUCUCAUCAUCUCAGCUUUAUAUGCAUUGACAUAGACCUUUUCCAACUUUACAGCUGCGCCAGAAAAAAACCAAACACUUUACAAAAUUAAAAUAGCAUAAUAGUCCAUAUUGAGGUUUCCAUGUCAACAAAGCCAUUUGCUAGAGAAUUAUAGCCACGAAUUAUAUAAAAAAAAAA
This is a non-coding RNA of Pelobates cultripes (western spadefoot toad), 1421 nucleotides long. The record is from the annotation of a GenBank genome assembly. NCBI's taxonomy places the organism in Eukaryota, Metazoa, Chordata, Amphibia, Anura, Pelobatidae.